RNAcentral lists this ribosomal RNA (427 nucleotides) under uncultured bacterium. RNAcentral describes it as "partial 16S ribosomal RNA". It matches the Rfam family "Bacterial small subunit ribosomal RNA", at positions 355 to 774 of the family's 1533-position model. The record is from RNAcentral.
UGGGGAAUAUUGCACAAUGGGCGCAAGCCUGAUGCAGCCAUGCCGCGUGUGUGAAGAAGGCCUUCGGGUUGUAAAGCACUUUCAGCGAGGAGGAAGGGUAGUGUGUUAAUAGCACAUUGCAUUGACGUUACUCGCAGAAGAAGCACCGGCUAACUCCGUGCCAGCAGCCGCGGUAAUACGGAGGGUGCAAGCGUUAAUCGGAAUUACUGGGCGUAAAGCGCACGCAGGCGGUUUGUUAAGUCAGAAGUGAAAUCCCCGCGCUUAACGUGGGAACUGCAUUUGAAACUGGCAAGCUAGAGUCUUGUAGAGGGGGGUAGAAUUCCAGGUGUAGCGGUGAAAAGCGUAGAGAUCUGGAGGAAUACCGGUGGCGAAGGCGGCCCCCUGGACAAAGACUGACGCUCAGGUGCGAAAGCGUGGGGAGCAAACA